Molecule: long non-coding RNA, 760 nt
Organism: Centropristis striata (black sea bass)
Lineage: Eukaryota; Metazoa; Chordata; Actinopteri; Perciformes; Serranidae
Exons: 4
Source: RefSeq, a predicted model, not a curated record
AAAACCACCACUGAGACCUCUACCAGCACCUCCAGCACCACUGGACCUGCUGGAUCCCAGUCAACACACCUCCCUGGAACACAGGUCAAAGCAGUCAUUCACCCUGUGGUGUUCGUUGUACCCGCUGCAUUGCUCCUGCUGACUGUUGCCCUGGUCAUAGUCUGUAAAUACAAGUGUCGCAAAGUGCGAGGAGCUGGAGCCAACAUGAACAGAAAUGAAACCAAGGCAGCAGGAACAGAGGAAGUGAUUGAUGCAGAAGAUAUUUAUGCAAAUGAAGAUAGAGUCCAGGGGUUCUACCAACCACAGAGAGCCUGUCAGCUCUACGAUGAUGCAGGUGAAGAAGAAGACGACUCUGUGUACCAGAACUUCUCCACCGCAGACGAUAUCUACUGUAACCAGAUCUUCGUUAAAGGCGGCAGGAGAUGAACAGCAUUGUGAUCUCAUUUCAUUUCAGGGUCACAUCUGUACCUAAAUUAUCCCAAUUAUAUUGUCUCUAUUAACAACACACCACUGCAGACCAAACUUUUUAUUGUCUGAAUGAAAACUACAGUAAUAUAAUUAUUUGUAUGGAUUUGUUCUGUAUUUACCAUCAAAUGUAUGUUGUACUUGUGUGUUUAAUUGCUUUAUAUUUUAUUUUACACUUUCGCUUUUACCUUUACAUCCAUUAUAACUGUUUAACAUUCCUGUACUCCUUGUAAGAAAGUUUGCCAAAUGUAAGUUACCAUCAUGUAUAUAUGUAUAUUUAUAAUUAAAAGUGCAU